UACCGUCGGGUUCACAUCUACCACUGCAAAAUUUUCCCACUUCUAGACCGUUUUGUCCUCUAAUCCGGAGUCGAUUCUUCAACCGAGCAUAACUUACACAUACGAACUCUGAUUUCGAUGUUCCAUAUAUCAAAAUCGAUCAGAAUUAGGUAGAUUUCACAAACUCAGUUUUCCCAAAUUUACCUCAAAAGUUUGAGUUUUUACCUUCUAAUUUUUUUCACAUUUUUUGUAAUCUUCAGAAAAUUCCACAGGGCACGUCUUUCACCUAUUUAAGCUCAAGUUUUCUAUGGUUACUUCUUUAGUGCUCCUAAGUCAAAGAAAAAUAUCAAAAAAUAAAAAUAAAAAGUCAAAAUUUUGCAAAAAAAAAAACAACGACACCCUAAAAAAGAGAGGGGCAAUAGAGGAACAAUAGAAGGGCAAAGUGAGUUGUGUUAGCAUAUGCUGUUUUGUGCUUUGUUUCUUUUGUUCUUGCUAUCCAUCAUACUUGUUUGUCCACCUUGUUGAUCAUCAUACACCUAGUACUUGGAACAUAUAAGGCCGACAACAACAACAAGCACUAGGGACUAUAAUUCAGUAUUACUAUAUGUUUCUGAUUUGUGUUCCACAUAUAUAUUUGUCUAUUUGUGUGCCUUCCAAGGUCUACAGAUUCUUCUAGACAGCAAAGGUUUGCAUCCCUACAAUUGGGACUCCACAUCUUCUAGGUUUCCUUUGCCUUGCUGGUAAGAACACCGAUAAGACCUUGGUAAGGUGUUUCCUUUUGCUGUCAUUUUUUAGAAGCAUCACUCCACCUUCGUAGUACGAUUAUUAGGGAUAACCUUCACUAUUUGUUCCUAUUUUUUUGUCUAUAAUGUCAGGUGAUGAGCUACCCAAAGACUUCAAUGAGUGUGUUAGCCAAGAGUACCUACAAGCUGUUGUACACAAAGUUAAUAAGGACAUAGAGGAGAUAGUCAUCAAGGUUGUUACUCAGGUGAUGCUUGAACUCAAGCUCGCUAACCAGCUAGAGAGGUUGG
RNAcentral lists this long non-coding RNA (1010 nucleotides) under Sorghum bicolor (sorghum). RNAcentral describes it as "long non-coding RNA (SBIC_LNC010748)". The record is from RNAcentral. Lineage: Eukaryota; Viridiplantae; Streptophyta; Magnoliopsida; Poales; Poaceae.